CGCGGCGAUCGUACCCAGACGUCUUGCCGGUGGAAUCACCGCCAUUUUGGAUUUGCGUGUUUCGACAGGUUGCAAGGAAGUGUCGUCGUCCUCGUAAUUAAAGAUGAUUCCAGGUGAAGUCUAUUGGUGCGUUAUCUUUCCAGAGCAGGAUGCUCAUCGUGCGAAGAUCAAUGAAGACUUAAAAUCGUCAUUGCUAUCGUGCGCGAUGCAAUGAAAUAAAUCGAGUGUUGCGUAACUAAAAUAAAAACAAAAAAGUCGCGAAAUAGAAGUGGUGUUUGUUUGUCAAUUUGAAAUUGUCAGAGUUACGUGAUUUAAAUUAAUUUUUUGGAACGUGUGUACUCGAAUCGACUGCGCGCAAUGCAGUCUGUUAUAGAGUCAAUGUUUGUUCGAAUAAAGUUUUAGUUUUUCUUUUUUAAUUCACACAUAAAUUGUAUUUAUAUUUGAAGAAAAUUAAAAUUCGCGAAUUAAAUUCAGUGCUUGUCUUGUGAUUUGUGUUAGUGCAUCACGGAAGAUGGUCUCCAGUUACAACUAUUUCAAUUUACGUCGUUGCCUAUCUACCUCAUUUUCGACUUAUUGCAGAUCAACCUCCCUCAUUUUUGAUUUACAUCGCGGACGAGUGUUUUGGAGCCAUCGCAGAACUUCUUAAGUAGUAAGUAAUUUUUUAAGUCCCUCCGGUACUCAUCAUGCCGAGGAUGAAAGGUCCGAAUCGGCACGAGUCAUUGGUUGUAAUCUUUUUCAAUAAAUUAAUUAGACGAGCAUGACCGUGAGUAAUUCCUCUUUUGGAUUUACUCGCAAGUGAUACAUUUUUAUUUGCAUAUGUUCUCCGUUGUUUAUUUAUUGUGUAUGUUUAUUUUUAUUAGCUCAGGAUAGGGUCUUCUUGUUUAAUCGGUUCGAGUCGUUUAAUUAAAAGCGCAAUUAAUUAGCGUUUCUUUUGUUCGUGUUUGCUCGCGUUAUUAAUGGUGAAAUCGGGCAUUCAUUUACCCCGAUUUCGUUGAAAAAAGCAUGUUAUAUGGUUUACCUUACAAGCAUUGCUUCGUACAUAGUCUAUUUAAUCGCGAUCUGCUUCGAUAUAUCGAUUACGAUAUACUAAGAAAUGAACAAGAAGACAAACGCGACGGAUAGAUUCUGGAAAUCAAGUGGUAGAGAUCAUGAUCUUUUUCUCUAAUUAAAAUAACCACUUGCUAAAAGGAGUCGUCCGAGGUUUCUCAUUAUUUUUGCAUGAAAAAUUUGAUGAUAAAAGAAAAGUUUUAUUAAAGUUAUUGGCUUUGAAAGUCGAGUAGAGUAAUUACUAAAAAAACAAAAAGACUAGUAGAUUCAUAGUCCGUAGAUCUAGAUUGUAAGCUAAUCAUUUUUAGCUCAGGAUUUUCAGAAAUUAAUAUACUAAUUCCCGUUUCUCCACCCGUACUUUCUGCGUUCUCAUUUAUACGUGUGCCCAGGUGUUACUCGCAUGAGUGAGAAACAGUUAGCACGGUUUUAGUUUUAAGUUCCCCCUUAUUAGCGACUGUUAUUGCGUUAGUGAUUGUGCACGAUGUACUUUACACUUGUAUGUGCGUGUUAGGUAGUGAAUUGUACAUCGUUACGCGAAAUUCUUAAUCUCUUAUAUAUUAUGUAGAAAACAUUCUAUUAUUACUAGUAUUGUUAUAUACUAAAAUCUAGCAAUAUUUAUAUUAAAAAUAAUACCUUAUAUAAUGAAAUAUUGAACCGUUUUGAAUAUUAAAUUAAUUAUAUGAUAAUGCAUAAAAUAAUACUCGUAUGUUACUAGUAUGUUUACAUACUAGUACGUACUAGUAUUUAUAUUGAAAGUAGAGCUUUACGCAAUGGUCACUAAAUCUAACAGUCGAUUUCAGCAAAUUGGUACGUACCCUUGAUUAAUUAAAAAUCAUACGCGUUUGAGCUAGAGUGUCGGAGAUGCCCCGGGGCAUACUCUCUAGUGUAGGCUUUUUGCACCCUGGCGGAAUGUGAGAGAAUCGUGGAGUGUAUGUGUUGGAACGAAUGUUUUGCUAUUUUUAAAUAUAGUUAUAGGUAGGCAGGUAGCAUAUUUUUCUGUGUGAAUGUGUAUUUAAUAUUAAGAAGGUAGGACCGGGUAAGACGGAGGAUGUAAUUUCCACGUAGGAGUGGAAAGUUCCGUUUCCGGUUAUUAUGCAAAGUUUCAGCAAAUUGUACAAUUAUUCAGCAUGUCUGUUC
Long non-coding RNA from Vespa mandarinia (Asian giant hornet), 2184 nucleotides. Lineage: Eukaryota; Metazoa; Arthropoda; Insecta; Hymenoptera; Vespidae. The record is from RefSeq and is a predicted model, not a curated record.